RNAcentral lists this unclassified non-coding RNA (351 nucleotides) under Hevea brasiliensis (rubber tree). The record is from RNAcentral. Lineage: Eukaryota; Viridiplantae; Streptophyta; Magnoliopsida; Malpighiales; Euphorbiaceae.
GUAGGCUCUGCCUCAUCAUAGCCGGGCCUAUGGAAAAUCUGGCAGUUAUUAAUGGCUUGGAAAGAAAGCUGGGCUAGGGAAGAACACCUAGCCCAGCUUUAGUGAGAUCGUAACUUCUAACUUUCUAGAUUAGCUUGGUUGUGCUGGCAAGGCUGAAUAGGCCUAUGAUUUGACUUUACCAGUUGGGAUGGGACCGUCUCGAUCUGCUCGCGCGAUGCGCUUAAAAGUAGGUGGGCACAAAGUCUAAAAUUUUUUCGGAGUAGCUAAGGUCCUUUUCUUACAGGGAAAGAUAUAAUCGAAUAAGCUCGUCAGGGGCGGGGCUGGUCUAGUCUUGUAUAGCCUUGUCUUGAU